Molecule: ribosomal RNA, 164 nt
Filed under: uncultured bacterium
Lineage: Bacteria
Description: partial 16S rRNA
Rfam family: Bacterial small subunit ribosomal RNA
Source: RNAcentral
UAGGGAAUCUUCCACAAUGGACGCAAGUCUGAUGGAGCAACGCCGCGUGAGUGAAGUAGGUUUUCGGAUCGUAAAGCUCUGUUGUUGGUGAAGAAGGAUAGAGGCAGUAACUGGUCUUUAUUUGACGGUAAUCAACCAGAAAGUCACGGCUAACUACGUGCCAG